This is a long non-coding RNA of Eleginops maclovinus (Patagonian blennie), 687 nucleotides long. RefSeq lists it as uncharacterized. The record is from RefSeq and is a predicted model, not a curated record. NCBI's taxonomy places the organism in Eukaryota, Metazoa, Chordata, Actinopteri, Perciformes, Eleginopidae. The transcript is spliced from 3 exons.
CUAGUUUGAAUAGAAUAGAUAAAUACAAAGAUAGAUGGAUAGGUAGUUGGGCAAAUAAAUAGAUAAAUGAAUAAAAACAAACAUAAAAAAAAUGAAUGUACAUACAAACAUACAUUCAUACAUGGCUUGAUCCAAAACUGCCCUUUUAUACUAAAUUAUACUUUUAAAAAAUGUUCAGCUCUUCUUCGUGACCUGUUGGUUAACCAACAAAUCCUGUUGGACCAGCAAAAGGGCAUGAUUAGAAUGAUUCAAGACUCCACAGAUACAUCCAGGGAGGUCAGGGGAUAUCCACCCCUUCCAGGCAUACUGCCUAUUUCCCACUGGCUGAUCGACAGGCUCUGGAGGCCCUGGAGGGCGACCUGGCAAGCCAGCGGGACCUUCGUCAGGAAUUGGUCAUCAGUCUUGGAUUGGCAGGGGGAGCCGAUGUCAAAGACACAGUUUGGCACAUCCUAAAACAGGUCAUCAAAAAUGGCCGAGCUAAAACAAUCUCAUGGCGGGGGUUGCACGGAAAGAUUCCGUUUGAGAAACUGCAUCUGAAGGCAGCAGUGAUGGAUGCAGUGAGACGCAAUCCAGCCUGCUCAGUCGCUACAGAUGUACAGAUUGCAGAGGCUACCAAAAGAUGGUUUUACUGGGCUGGGGAUAGGGAGGGAGGGAGGAAAAACCGCCAGCCAGCCCCCAACCAUGGAG